This 575-nucleotide non-coding RNA is filed under the name Perkinsus marinus ATCC 50983. RNAcentral's name for it is "Eukaryotic large subunit ribosomal RNA". It matches the Rfam family "Eukaryotic large subunit ribosomal RNA", at positions 2829 to 3401 of the family's 3401-position model. Lineage: Eukaryota; Perkinsozoa; Perkinsida; Perkinsidae. The record is from Rfam by way of RNAcentral.
ACUGGCUUGUGGCAGCCAAGCGUUCAUAGCGACGUUGCUUUUGAUCUUCGAUGUCGGCUCUUCCUAUCAUGAGACGCAGAAGUCUCAAAGUGUCGGAUUGUUCACCCGCCAAUAGGGAACGUGAGCUGGGUUUAGACCGUCGUGAGACAGGUUAGUUUUACCCUACUGACAAAGUAGAUACUGCGACAGUAGUCGAAGUUAGUACGAGAGGAACACUUCGUCCAGAUACUUGGUUAAUGCCGUUGUCUGAAAAGACAGUACGGCGAAGCUACCAUCUGCUGGAUUACGGCUGAACGCCUCUAAGCCGGAAUCCAUGCUGGAUAAGCAGUGUUGUACACCGUGCUCAAUGCUACAAGAAAAAGGCUAGGUCAGGCUUCGGCCUGACCAAAAUUCAAGCUGCUAUACCUCUGGCUGCAUUGACUUGUGGUCAGAGUGUAUGGUGAUCAUAGCAAUUGCAAGUAUUGGGCUCGAUAAAUCCUUUGAAGACGACUUAAUUGCAUCCGGGUAUUGUAAGUGUUGAGAGUAGGCUUAGUCUUACGAUCCACUGAGAUUCAUCCCGUGUUGCGCCGAUUUGU